GCUGGGCAUGGUGGUGCAUGUCUGUGGUCCCAGCUACUUGGGAGGCUGAGGUGGGAGGAUCACUUGAGCCUGGGAGUUCAAGGCUGCAGUGAGCCAUGAUCAUGCCACUGCAUUCCAGCCUGGGUAACAAAGUGAGACCCUGUCUUUU
Unclassified non-coding RNA from Pongo abelii (Sumatran orangutan), 148 nucleotides. It matches the Rfam family "Metazoan signal recognition particle RNA". From Rfam's summary of the family: The signal recognition particle (SRP) is a universally conserved ribonucleoprotein. It is involved in the co-translational targeting of proteins to membranes. The record is from Ensembl. NCBI's taxonomy places the organism in Eukaryota, Metazoa, Chordata, Mammalia, Primates, Hominidae.